GCACAUCGCUGCCCGUGCGGAUGCCGCCGUCCAGGUAGAUCUCGAUGCGGCCCUGCACCGUGUCCACGAUCUCAGAUAGGGCGUCUAUCUGUCGAUGACAACAGAGACACUUGAUGGCGCAAUUUAUGAUGUCAAACCAGGCCGGGCCGCCAUCCAGCUGUCUCCCGCCGUGGUUGGACACAAUGAUGCCCUGGACGCCGUGUUCCACCGCCAGCUCGGCAUCCUCCUUGGUCAGGAUGCCCUUGAUGAUGAUUGGCAGCCGUGUGAUGGACUGCAGCCAGUAGAUGUCCUUCCAGCUAAUAGACGGGUCCAAAGUGUUGGCCGGGAUCCCGUACUCCUCUGGGCCUGCCGUCUCCUGAUGGGUGUGGGUUCCGUUUUUAGUCCAACGUUUGUGAAAUGGACUUUUUUGGGUGCUGUUGUUUGUUGUGGCGUGAUGUGCAUGCGCAUUUAUCCUUAUUAGACGCAGUAAUAGGCCUUAGCCUAGACUGGCUAAUUGGUGCUAGCUUCAAUGUUAGCAUUUCUUGUGUUCCUUGCUAGCCUGUGCCAAAAUAAUUGCCAAAUAUUUUGUUGUUUGUUUGACUUCAAUUACCAAUGUGAGAUUUUCUUUGUGUUGCUGAGAAAACAUGGCCCAAACGUACAUUUA
Long non-coding RNA from Syngnathus typhle (broad-nosed pipefish), 643 nucleotides. RefSeq lists it as uncharacterized. The record is from RefSeq and is a predicted model, not a curated record. The transcript has 2 exons. NCBI's taxonomy places the organism in Eukaryota, Metazoa, Chordata, Actinopteri, Syngnathiformes, Syngnathidae.